This 253-nucleotide ribosomal RNA is filed under the name uncultured bacterium. Its description in RNAcentral is "partial 16S ribosomal RNA". It matches the Rfam family "Bacterial small subunit ribosomal RNA", at positions 524 to 776 of the family's 1533-position model. The record is from RNAcentral.
UACAGAGGAUGCAAGCGUUAUCCGGAAUGAUUGGGCGUAAAGCGUCUGUAGGUGGCUUUUUAAGUCCGCCGUCAAAUCCCAGGGCUCAACUCUGGACAGGCGGUGGAAACUACCAAGCUGGAGUACGGUAGGGGCAGAGGGAAUUUCCGGUGGAGCGGUGAAAUGCGCUGAUAUCCUAAGGAACACCGGUGGCGAAAGCGGCUCACUGGAUCUUAUCUGACGCUGAGGCACGAAAGCCAGGGUAGCAAACGGG